UGGGGAAUCUUGGACAAUGGGGGCAACCCUGAUCCAGCCAUGCCGCGUGAGUGAUGAAGGCCUUAGGGUCGUAAAGCUCUUUCGCCUGUGAAGAUAAUGACGGUAGCAGGUAAAGAAACCCCGGCUAACUCCGUGCCAGCAGCCGCGGUAAUACGGAGGGGACUAGCGUUGUUCGGAAUUACUGGGCGUAAAGAGUUCGUAGGCGGACUAGCAAGUUAGAGGUGAAAUCCCAGGGCUCAACCUUGGAACUGCCUUUAAAAGCUGCUAGUCUAGAGACCGGAAGAGGUUAGGGGAAUACCUAGUGUAGAGGUGAAAUUCGUAGAUAUCAGGAGGAACACCAGUGGCGAAGGCGCCGCUCUGGGCCGUAACUGACGCUGAGGAGCGAAAGCAUGGG
Molecule: ribosomal RNA, 394 nt
Filed under: uncultured bacterium
Lineage: Bacteria
Description: bacterial SSU rRNA
Rfam family: Bacterial small subunit ribosomal RNA
Source: RNAcentral